RNAcentral lists this non-coding RNA (942 nucleotides) under Brachygobius kabiliensis. RNAcentral describes it as "12S ribosomal RNA". It matches the Rfam family "Bacterial small subunit ribosomal RNA". The record is from RNAcentral. Lineage: Eukaryota; Metazoa; Chordata; Actinopteri; Gobiiformes; Gobiidae.
CAAAAGCUUGGUCCUGACUUUACUGUCAGCUGUGGUGAGAUUUAUGCAUGCAAGUAUCCGCACCGCUGUGAGAAUGCCCUACAUAUUCCCCUCCCUGGAAAAAAGGAGCAGGUAUCAGGCAUAAUUUGUUAGCAGCCCAUAACGCCUUGCCACGCCACACCCCCACGGGAAUUCAGCAGUAAUAAACAUUAAGCAAUAAGUGUAAACUUGACUUAGUUAUAAUCAAGAGGGCCGGUCAACCUCGUGCCAGCCACCGCGGUUAUACGAGAAGCCCAAGAAGAUGUUGUACGGUGUAAAAAGUGGACACAUAAUAAGUAAUUAAAGCUAAAUAUCUUCUAUGCUGUCAUACGCCUAUGAAGUAAGAGGCCCUUUAACGAAAGUAGCUUUAAAGUUGCAUCCACUAAAGCUAAGAAACAAACUGGGAUUAGAUACCCCACUAUGCUUAGCCUUAAACAUAAGUAUCAUUUAACCUUAUUGCUUACCAGGGAACUAUGAGCCCCAGCUUAAAACCCAAAGGACUUGGCGGUGCCUAAGACCCCCCUAGAGGAGCCUGUUCUAUAAUCGAUACCCCACGUUAAACCUCACCCUUAAUUGCUUAUCCCGCCUAUAUACCGCCGUCGUCAGCUCACCCUAUGAAGGAGCAACAGUCAGCAUAGUUGGUAAAACCCAAAACGUCAGGUCAAGGUGUAGCAUAUGUAAGGGGAAGAAAUGGGCUACAUUUACUGAAACAGUAAAUACAGAUACUACUUUGAAAUAAGUAGCUUGAAGGAGGAUUUAGUAGUAAGAAAAAAAUAGAGUGUUUUUCUGAAACUGGCCCUUAAGCGCGCACACACCGCCCGUCACUCUCCCCAACACACCAGCACAAGCUAUAUAAAACUUUUUAUAAAAAAGAGGAGGCAAGUCGUAACAUGGUAAGUGUACUGGAAAGUGUACUUGGAACAU